GUGCUUGUACCAGUGGCACAUAUACUAAACUUGGAACUGUACGGAGAAGAUUAGCAUGGCCCCUGCAUAAGGAUGACACACAAAUUCGUGAAGUGUUCCAUUUUUUU
This is a small nuclear RNA of Suncus etruscus (white-toothed pygmy shrew), 107 nucleotides long. Lineage: Eukaryota; Metazoa; Chordata; Mammalia; Eulipotyphla; Soricidae. The record is from RefSeq and is a predicted model, not a curated record.